RNAcentral lists this ribosomal RNA (413 nucleotides) under uncultured bacterium. RNAcentral's name for it is "bacterial SSU rRNA". It matches the Rfam family "Bacterial small subunit ribosomal RNA", at positions 917 to 1333 of the family's 1533-position model. The record is from RNAcentral.
GGGCCCGCACAAGCGGUGGAGCAUGUGGUUUAAUUCGAUGAUACGCGAGGAACCUUACCAGGGCUUAAAUGUACGUUGCAUAAAUCAGAGAUGGUUUUUUCUUCGGACUACGUACAAGGUGCUGCAUGGUUGUCGUCAGCUCGUGCCGUGAGGUGUCAGGUUAAGUCCUAUAACGAGCGCAACCCCUGUCGUUAGUUGCCAUCGAGUCAUGUCGGGAACUCUAACAAGACUGCCGGUGCAAACCGUGAGGAAGGUGGGGAUGACGUCAAAUCAUCACGGCCCUUACGUCCUGGGCUACACACGUGCUACAAUGGCCGGUACAGAGAGCAGCCACUACGCGAGUAGGCGCGAAUCUUCAAAGCCGGUCUCAGUUCGGAUCGGAGUCUGCAACUCGACUCCGUGAAGCUGGAAUC